AACGAACGCUGGCGGCAUGCCUAACACAUGCAAGUCGAACGAUUGCCUUCGGGUGAUAGUGGCGCACGGGUGCGUAACGCGUGGGAAUCUGCCCUUGGGUUCGGAAUAACAGCUGGAAACGGCUGCUAAUACCGGAUGAUAUCGCGAGAUCAAAGAUUUAUCGCCUGAGGAUGAGCCCGCGUUGGAUUAGGUAGUUGGUGGGGUAAAGGCCUACCAAGCCGACGAUCCAUAGCUGGUCUGAGAGGAUGAUCAGCCACACUGGGACUGAGACACGGCCCAGACUCCUACGGGAGGCAGCAGUGGGGAAUAUUGGACAAUGGGCGCAAGCCUGAUCCAGCAAUGCCGCGUGAGUGAUGAAGGCCCUAGGGUUGUAAAGCUCUUUUACCCGGGAAGAUAAUGACUGUACCGGGAGAAUAAGCCCCGGCUAACUCCGUGCCAGCCGCCGCCGUAA
This 451-nucleotide ribosomal RNA is filed under the name uncultured bacterium. Its description in RNAcentral is "partial 16S ribosomal RNA". It matches the Rfam family "Bacterial small subunit ribosomal RNA", at positions 29 to 523 of the family's 1533-position model. The record is from RNAcentral.